This is a long non-coding RNA of Helianthus annuus (common sunflower), 6362 nucleotides long. RefSeq lists it as uncharacterized. The record is from RefSeq and is a predicted model, not a curated record. The transcript has 9 exons. Lineage: Eukaryota; Viridiplantae; Streptophyta; Magnoliopsida; Asterales; Asteraceae.
CGCUAAAACCAUUUCGCUUUUACACCGCGUCUCCUUCUAUCAGUUUCCUUUUUACCUUCAAGAAACCCUAGAUGUCUUUGACGGCGAUUGAACAGAGCAUCUUCCCCUUUUCCUCUCCAUUUUAUCGCUGGCACCAGAAGAAGAACUAUAUAACCCAUUUGCAAUUAUAGUUGAAACCCUAAUUUUCCAUCGCAAUUCUGCCCCAUUUGUUUUCUCAGACAAGAUCUCAAACAAGUUUAUCACUAUGAAUUCUACAAACUAUUUGUCAAUUUGUAAACCCUACAACUCAACUCUUCAGAUCUUGGAUUCGUCUCAAAUAGCCUUUUACAAUCGGUGAUUGUUCAUUGUUUUGAGUCUGUUUCUAAAGUUUCUGUCACUUCGAAGACGAAGACGAGCAAGUGCGUUCCUGGAAUAUUGGAGUUUUUACAAAUCUGGUUAGUCAACACGGAUACAAUUCAAAUUCUUUUGUUGAUGAUGAUGCAUGUACACAAUUUGUUUUGGAAUUAGAUCUUGAUUUUUACAUUAAUUCUUUGAUACAAUGUCACUUCAAAUAUUUUAGUUUCUGAUUAGCUAAUUAAUUGAUAUUUGAUCUCUGAUAUUUUCAUAUACUGCUGAUUUUAUCCACUGAGCAGGAGUGUUAUGCAUUCUCAAAUUAAAGGUGUCUGUUUCUUUUCUCUUCAUCUUGCUUAAUUUGUAUCAGUGUCCAAGACAUUGUCUUAUUUUUAUUUGAUGUGGUGAUGGUAUGUAACAGUUACAAUACACAUGCAUACAUGUAAAUAUGUAGUUAUCAUGUUUUUAACGUCUUUUAGGUUCAUUUGGUGCGAUCUAAAUAUCUUUGUUAUCUGAAUGCAUACACUACUGUUUUGGUUGGAGUUGAAUAUGGAGGUGGAAGUUCACGAUACUGGGUUGCUAAAGGUCUAAAGAUGGAGUUCUUAUGAUGCUGAGAAAUUGGCAAAGAUUCUUAAUGACAGCAGCUUGAAAUCCAAAUACUCCACUGUUGAAAAAGCUGCAGGAUAUUGGAACAAGACCAUUAAGCUUGGACAAGGAGGAUUUGGGACAAUCUACAUGGCACUACCUAAUAGUACAUAGUGGGUGGAUUGAUUCUGUUAACUAUGAAGAUAAAGCAUCAACUUACAAUGUAGUGUGGCUGAUAGUACUUUAUCAGUCUCACAAGCGCCAUAUCCUGGGUAAUACAGGUAUGAUCAUUUUUUAUUGUUCCGCAUCACAAACAAAGCAUGCAGUUUAUAUAACGCCUCAAAAUGGGUGCAAUUCAAUUUGACCCGUAAAGCUAAACACUUUUCCGCCUUUUUUGUAUUAUAAGUAUAUUUAAUAAAAAAAAUAACAGUGUUUUCUUGAAAAAAUUAAGAUCUGGGACAUGGGUAUUUGAAUUCAUGUGAUACGCCUUUGGGCCCUUUUUAUCGAUCCUGACCCAUCAUCAAAUGAAUAAGUUUAUAAGUCUGCUUACAUCGAACAACUUAAUAUGUCAAUAUGUUUUUGUGGUUUUUAUUAUGUAUUAUCUAUUCUAAUCUAUAACGUAGUUUGGUAGUUCCAAGGUUAAUUUGCGUGCUAAAAGUAUACUGCAUGUCUAUUUCUGUUAUAUAUUCAGAUAGAAAAUGUGGUGAUGUUUUGUGUAUCCCUGAUACUAGAGAAACGAACAAAGAUGUUGCAGCUACAGGGUGAAGUUCAAGAAAUGGUGACUUCUAUUUUUUUUCUCCAAAACUUAUUUAUGAUGUUAUAAGAAUUUGAAGCUUGGCACCAUUGUAUUUUUCAGAAUAAUAAAAAAUCGGAUGAUCUGCAAUAACAUAACAGAUUAUUGUUUAAAAUUGUAAAAAAAUCGGAUGACCCACUAUAAUAUACAAGGUUUCAGCACCUUCUUUUUAUUCAAGCAUGAACAAGUGUAGAAAAGAAGCAUUAAAACCUCUAAAAGUAGAUGAAUCAACUAGCGCACGCAUGAAAUGCACUUUUGGUGGUGGUGGUGAUGGUCAAAAGCAUCUAUUUGUGGCUUCUUUUUCUUCGAUCCAGCUGCUGAUGUAUUAUUAUUAUUAUUAUUAUUAUUAUUAUUAUUAUUAUACAUAUUACUUGACAGGUUGGAUAACAUUUCAAAAAAGGGUUCACAUCCAAUAGUAAACUGCUAGAACGCGUCGUGCCAAGUUGAUUAGACCUACUAAACUUGACUAAUUGAGGACCAACUCAUGUUUUACCCCCCUUCUUUAAGGUAAGCUUUGUUUAAAAUCAUUUUAUCUUAAGCAAAGUUAAGAUUCUAAGUCCUAACGGUUCUAAGAUGUGUGAGGGUGCUAGACAAGUGUCAAUUUUGUAGAAUUGUCAGUUUAUGAUCUUGAUUGUCUGCUUUAUGAUGCAACCUAAUUUGUCAAGGCCUUUGAAAUAUUCUUUAUUACUGUCGUGGUGUGCCUCAAUGAUGAUACAAUUGUGGCGAAGAAUAUCGAUGAUUUGUUCAAAUGCGGAAAACUUUUGCGCCAACUUAAAGAAUUCUGAGAGGCUUAACUCGGGUGUUAUGUUAGUCCAACCAUCUAAAGAGCUUUCCAAGGACAUGGUCACCAAAGUUACAACUUUGUAUUCUUAUGGUGGAGGUAUAUUAUCCCUUUAAAUAAUGAUAUGGGCCAAAGGGAAAAUUUAACUUCCCAAGAUGACAUUGUAAUUUACAUGUGAUGCAAUUUUAUGGAGCGAAGGCCAAGAUGAAUUUAGUCUGUUAGAGUUUCAUAUCAGCAGAGUUCUCAUCUUUUCAGCUAAAGGUGUAAGAGGAACGCUCGCUGCACGGUUGGAUUUAAACAGCCCGGCGUCAGACUUUUGGUGGAACAACUUGGUCACAAAAAAGGUAAAUAUGUUUCUUUGGAGAACAAUCGACGAGAAGAUACUGUCGGCAAUGGCUCUCGUGAAAAGGGGGUUGCCAAUGCAGUUGGUAACAUGUCAGUCGUGUGGCAUUACAGAUGAGUCUGUAGAACACAUCCUACUGAAGUGUCAAGUGGAAAGAGACAUUCGAAGGUAAAUUUUGGUAAAAUACCGGUACCGAUACCGAAAAUGCCAAAAUGUGGGUACCGAAAAAAUCGGCAUGAGAAAUUCGGUACCGGUACCAAGUAUCAAAUGCUCAUCCCUACUUGAUUUAUUAAGCGAAAAAUGAAGUAAGAGCAAAAACGGUACUGAUUAUAUACGCACAGUUACUCUACUCACACUUACGCACCAAGAUAGGAAAGAGUGGUUUUUAUGAGGUACUCCUUUACAUAAAAAAUACGCCCAUCAGUAAUGUUGUAAAAUAGUUUGUAACUUUUGAUGUUUUCACUAAAGGAUGGUCUUAAGCAGGUUUUCCUUUUCUAAAGGCUCUGAUGUACAAUCUUAAAAUACUAGCAGUGAAAACAAAUUGAGCAUUGGAACUAUUUUAGACAUAAGUUUGGGAUGUUGAUACCUUUUUAAGGUUCUUGUGCUUCCACUUUUGCUUUCACAUGAACAUCAUUGUGAAUACGAAUGAAGACUAUGAGUUGUUUGCGGGGCUUAGUUACCAUGAGCUGUGAAUACGAAAUUACAGGUUAGGAUUGUUGCUGGUAUAUACAUUUGUUUGGAUGUUGAUUCGUUACAAUCAACCCUAAAUCUCUUCCAUCGUCUACAUUUUAGAUUCCAAUAUUGGGUUUUUAGGUCUGUAGUUGGGAGUUCCCUACAGAACGCAGAUUUCAUUCGUUGAACACCAAUUUCUUUCACAACUAGGUUUUAUCAUGAGGUUUCUUUUAACUGGUUCGCCGGUGAUGGGGGUGACACGAUUUUUUGGUUCGUCGGUGAUCUAUACUUUCCAUUGUAGCCGGCGGUGUUAUACUGGUGUUGUAUGGAGUACGAACCUAUUUUAAAGCAUUUCAAGAUGACGAGUACCCGAGUUUUGAGAUUGUAUUCAAGUGAGGCAUAUUGGGAAUGACAUUGCUUUGCUACUUAUCUGAGGUUCGGGUCGAAUUUGAGGUAUGGGAGUGGAGCUGGAUAAGAACAAUUGUAUAUAAGGGGAAUUCGCCCUAAUUUGAGGCACUUGUGUCAGUAUUGGCACAAAACAGUUACAUAUAACAAAGAUGUGUGGCAGUGGAAGGAUGACCAGAUUAAAUAUUCUCUAUAAAGCAGGUGAAGGAACAGUUAGACAGUGAGCUAGAGAUAAAUCAGUGGGGCCCAGGUAUUCUGCUGGAAUAAUAUAGCUACCCCCAAAGUCAACUAAUUCGUGUGGCGAGCUAAUAAUGGGAUAAUUCCUACUUUGGAUGCAAUGGCGGCAAGAGGUAUGACUUUUCUAUCCAUGUCCUGUUAGCUAUGUGGUUAAAUACUGAUUGUAAAUUUUGUAAAUUGUAAUUGCUUUUGAUGCUUUGAAGAUUAGCAUGUGCUUAAAAGCCUUAAUUUGGAAUGAAUCUGAAUUACAACGCUGGAAUGUGUUGAGCUACCGGAAUGUAUGACUGUUCUAACCCUUUAUUAUGCAGCCCUUCCAGCUACAGGAAUCCAAAUAUCUUAGCAUAAAUGCAUGAUUUUUCGUUGGUCAUCAUUAACGGGCAUCAUUUAUGGGUUAAAUUUGCCUUAAUAAAUCAUUCUUAACCUCUGUACUUGUGUAUUCAUUUUCUUCUCCGGUUACUCAGACAUUCUGUUACAAGGAUCACUAAGGUUGUAACAAGGAUCGAUGUUUAUUCAGAACUACCAUCACACGCAGGCAAGCUACGCCGGUGUAGCGGACCGCCACUGUUGCCUCUCCAUUCUUCUGACCAUGAGGUAAUAGUUGAUUACGUUGUAUGUCGAUGUGUGUGUAUGAAUGUGUGCGUUUCAUUUACAGAGUGUGUGUCGAUGUGAGUUUAGGUGCCUAUGUGUUGUGUCGAGUGUGUGCACGCUUAUGAAUGUGUGUGUGUCGACUGUGUUAGAUGACAUUAACAUGUUAGAACGGGAUGAAAAUGGAGAAAAGGGUUGUUAAUGUUGCAUAAUCCAUAGUCUUUUAAGUACAUUGACAGUUUGAGGAGCCUAAUUUUAUAAGGUAUUCUUGAAAAACAGUAUGUACUGUUAAAUAGAUAAAGGUAUGUUGAAGGGUAGUCAGUAGUGUAAGCGAUGAUAUUUACCCAGGUACUGUAACUUAACUUACAUGUUUCCUCGCCAAUCUCACUAGAUUAACACACCUUUAUCUUUUCAAUUAACAGUUUUAAUGGGAACUUAUUCGUAAAUGCUGGUGCAAUUGUUCAAGGUUGUUUGUUGAUUCCAGAUUCUCCAUUCUAUCGUAUCUGGGUUCAAGGUUGUUUCUUGAUUCCAGAUUCUCCAUUCUAUCCUAUCUGGAAGGGCAAUGUGGUUUUUUUGAAUUUGUACAAAAGGCGCAUGCCAGGAAUGUCUCUUAAAGUGUGAAUGCAUUUUAAAAGAAAGAUGCUUAAGAAAAUAAGUUACUUCUUGAUAUUGCUCUAUGGUUGACUUAGAAAUUUAAGAUAACAACCGACUCAUCAUUAGUCUUGACUUGAAAGCUUCAAUAAUGUAGUAAAGGAUUUGUUGUAAAGAGUAGUUAAUUUUUUAAUGUUCACUAUGCGUGAUUGGGGAAGAUGAUCAGGUGAUCUACUAAUAGGUGAUCUGCUAAUUUCUGUAAAACACAAAGGGUAAAAUAUCAACCUUUAUGAUAGGCAAAGAGUUGAGGAAUUUUAAAAAGUCUGAAUAGAUGGGGUUUGCUGAUAUGAACCGAUCAAAGCAACCAAAAGGCGUUCUGGUAUACAUUAAAGUUAGCGAAAGGUGGAAAAUUGUUUGCUUUAGUCACAAUUUUUUUGAGAUAAAAUAUUUAAAUUUUUGAACUUUCGGGAUAGCCUACAUCUUAACUCAUAGGAACUAUACCCUGUAUUUUUCUUUCUUUUUUUUAUGUUUUUCAAUCAUGUUGCUACUAAAGAAACAUGUCACAUUUAUAUUAAGACAAGCCCGAUUCUUAUUUUUACCAAGUAUUAAUAACAAUGCUGAUUGUUCUUCUUUUUACCUCCAUGUACUUGGUGUUUUGGCUUAUUGGAAAUAACAUGAAAGGAGAGAAAUCAUAUUCACAUCACUUGAAUAAUGAUCUCAUUUAAACCAAAUUUGUUGUUUUCGACUGCAUAUUGUUGAAUAGAUCUAUACCAAGAAAAAGUGGAGAAGGUUGAAUGAAUGAGUCUAAGGGUGAGCUUUUCGUGGUUCCGCCCCGUGAGAACCUUUGACCCGACCCUCCAAAAUGGCGAGCAAAAGUUUUCGGUUCUAUGUUAGAGUCGGUUCAGUUCUGAGCCGUCAAACUUAAAUGGAACCAUGAGAACUUAUUGAAAUUUAAAUUGAAAAAAUUUUUUUUUUUGUUUGAUGCGCUAUUACUCUUUGUACAAUUGAGCAUGAUUAAAAAUGAAUGAUGUUUAGUUUUU